AAGUCGUAACAAGGUUUCCGUAGGUGAACCUGCGGAAGGAUCAUUACCGAGUUCUCGGGCUUCGGCUCGAAUCUCCCACCCUUUGUGAACAUACCUCUGUUGCUUUGGCGGCUCUUUGCCGCGAGGAGGCCCUCGCGGGCCCCCCCGCGCGCUUUCCGCCAGAGGACCUUCAAACUCCAGUCAGUAAACGUCGACGUCUGAUAAACAAGUUAAUAAACUAAAACUUUCAACAACGGAUCUCUUGGUUCUG
RNAcentral lists this unclassified non-coding RNA (250 nucleotides) under Diplodia intermedia. RNAcentral's name for it is "partial internal transcribed spacer region". The stretch from base 1 to 46 matches the Rfam family "Eukaryotic small subunit ribosomal RNA", at positions 1786 to 1831 of the family's 1831-position model. RNAcentral also lists the same sequence under 2 other names. Lineage: Eukaryota; Fungi; Ascomycota; Dothideomycetes; Botryosphaeriales; Botryosphaeriaceae. The record is from RNAcentral.